AAAAAUUCCAACUAAAAGUUAGCUAGCCUUUAUAGGCUGCUAAUCUUUUAAACCCUUGUGAACUGUUUAUUGUCUAUGGUGGGUUAAAAGAUCUCUAUCUAGUGUAAAGAUUGGCUUUAACCAGCUACCCACCUAUUUAUUAAACACCUUAAAUAUUUUUAGUCUUUAACAAUUCUAUUUUGAAUUCUUUGAAUUUAAAAA
Molecule: unclassified non-coding RNA, 201 nt
Filed under: uncultured Chytridiomycota
Lineage: Eukaryota; Fungi; Chytridiomycota
Description: sequence contains ITS1
Source: RNAcentral